This 506-nucleotide ribosomal RNA is filed under the name uncultured bacterium. RNAcentral's name for it is "partial 16S ribosomal RNA". It matches the Rfam family "Bacterial small subunit ribosomal RNA", at positions 29 to 523 of the family's 1533-position model. The record is from RNAcentral.
AGUGAGCGCUGGCGGUAGGCCUAACACAUGCAAGUCGAACGGCAGCACAGAGGAGCUUGCUCCUUGGGUGGCGAGUGGCGGACGGGUGAGGAAUACAUCGGAAUCUACUCUGUCGUGGGGGAUAACGUAGGGAAACUUACGCUAAUACCGCAUACGACCUACGGGUGAAAGCAGGGGAUCUUCGGACCUUGCGCGAUUGAAUGAGCCGAUGUCGGAUUAGCUAGUUGGCGGGGUAAAGGCCCACCAAGGCGACGAUCCGUAGCUGGUCUGAGAGGAUGAUCAGCCACACUGGAACUGAGACACGGUCCAGACUCCUACGGGAGGCAGCAGUGGGGAAUAUUGGACAAUGGGCGCAAGCCUGAUCCAGCCAUACCGCGUGGGUGAAGAAGGCCUUCGGGUUGUAAAGCCCUUUUGUUGGGAAAGAAAUCCAUCUGGUUAAUACCCGGGUGGGAUGACGGUACCCAAAGAAUAAGCACCGGCUAACUUCGUGCCAGCAGCCGCGGUAA